Molecule: long non-coding RNA, 1371 nt
Filed under: Pectinophora gossypiella (pink bollworm)
Lineage: Eukaryota; Metazoa; Arthropoda; Insecta; Lepidoptera; Gelechiidae
Description: uncharacterized LOC126375352
Source: RNAcentral
CCAAAAAAAAAACUAAACAAAAUGGUCUUAUGGUCUCGUUCUGUGGUCUCGUUGCCGAGAAGUUCUCUUGAUAAUUUCCUGUGCUACUUUGUUAGAAUUUGUAGCUUACAAGUUCACCGUGCGAGAGCGUCGACAUUCUACUGUAAAAACUUCCAGAGCCAUUGUGUGUUUUGGAUAGAGCCGAUAUGAUAAAAAGUUUGUGGAUAAUGUUCGUUGAUAAAUUGCAAUGUGUGAAUGCUGAUCGACUUUGUCAUACUAACUCAUACUCAUACUAAGAGAUGUAAGCAACAAUAACAAGUUUCCUGAAGAAUGUUCCAAUCGGACAGUUGGAAACAAUUAUGUCUGUAUAAGUUGUGGAAUAUCUUUGGGAAAGCAGUCACGAAGAUAAAAUCACAGGCCAGGGGCUUAUGGAAAGAAGUGAAGAGUGGUAUUAUAUAGAAAAACAAUCUCCGAGAUAGAUGCCUGAUGGAUGCCCAUGUAUGCAUUGUUUGCAGGAUGAGCUCACCUCAAAAGCAUUAAUAUCUAGUGAACAUAAAAGCUGUGUGUGUUGUUGCAAUGUAUAUAGUUCUAUUUAUUAACCCCCGACGCAAAAUUGUGUAUAUGUGUCUAUCUGUAGCAUCGUAGCUCCCAAACGGAUGAUCCGAUUUUAAUAUGUUUUUUUUUUUGUUUGUAAGUUAUAUUAGUCGAGAGUGUUCUUAGCUAUGUUUGGUAGAAAUCGGUUCAGGUCUUCAAGGUCAUCAGAGAUGUUUGUUAAGUGUGAUAGGAAUGUUACACGCUCAGUUUGCUUGCAAGCAUAGGUAUGUGGGAUAAGUUAUUUUUUGCUUUUUAUAGGGUUUUUUUCACCUUUUUUCAUAAUAAUUGAGUACUUUUGUUUUGUCGGGGUUUUUUUUUUGUUCAUAGAUGUUGGUAAACUAUGAGUUUAUAUCACUUUAUAAUUAUUAUAAUUUAUAUUAUUAAAUCAUUAAAUAGAUAAAAACCUGUGUAUAUUUUAAUGUUAUUGUUAAGUUUAUUCUCUACCUACUUACUAAUAUGUUACCAUAUUAAGUCUGUUCAAAAAUCAUAAAUAGGUACUUGUUCUUCUUCUAUCAUGUAGGUUGUGAAGUGGAUGACCAACCUCAACCAGGGUUAUUGCUGAGCCGCCAAUGUCGUUGGAUCAGCCAGCAAUGUCCUAACUGAAUCAGGGAUCACAAAGAAAUUUUUGUGUUUUGUCCCCACCGGGACUUGAACCUGGGACCUCCGGAAUGUUAGCCACUGGACCACAUAGGCCGAGAGUAUAUGGUUAAGUUGCUGUUUUAUUUCAACUAUUUAAUUAAAUGUAGGAAUAUUUUGUAUGAGUAUGAAUUAUAUAAUAAAACAAAUUAUUUCUAAAAA